Non-coding RNA from Bos taurus (domestic cattle), 73 nucleotides. NCBI's taxonomy places the organism in Eukaryota, Metazoa, Chordata, Mammalia, Artiodactyla, Bovidae. The record is from Rfam.
UCCCUGGUGGCUCAGAUGGUAAAGCGUCUGCCUGCAAUGCGGAAGACCAGGAUUCGAUCCCUGGGUCGGAGAG